UGGGGAAUAUUGGACAAUGGGCGCAAGCCUGAUCCAGCCAUGCCGCGUGAGUGAUGAAGGCCCUAGGGUUGUAAAGCUCUUUCACCGGUGAAGAUAAUGACGGUAACCGGAGAAGAAGCCCCGGCUAACUUCGUGCCAGCAGCCGCGGUAAUACGAAGGGGGCUAGCGUUGUUCGGAUUUACUGGGCGUAAAGCGCACGUAGGCGGACUAUUAAGUCAGGGGUGAAAUCCCGGGGCUCAACCCCGGAACUGCCUUUGAUACUGGUAGUCUUGAGUUCGAGAGAGGUGAGUGGAAUUCCGAGUGUAGAGGUGAAAUUCGUAGAUAUUCGAAGGAACACCAGUGGCGAAGGCGGCUCACUGGCACGAUACUGACGCUGAGGUGCGAAAGCGUGGGGAGCAAACAGG
Molecule: ribosomal RNA, 404 nt
Filed under: Actinomycetes bacterium
Lineage: Bacteria; Bacillati; Actinomycetota; Actinomycetes
Description: Actinobacteria bacterium partial 16S ribosomal RNA
Rfam family: Bacterial small subunit ribosomal RNA
Source: RNAcentral